CUACGGGCGGCUGCAGUGAGGAAUUUUGCGCAAUGGGGGAAACCCUGACGCAGCAACGCCGCGUGAGUGAUGAAGAUUUUCGGAUCGUAAAGCUCUGUCAAGCGGGAAAAAAUACUUUCGGUUAAUACCCGAAAGGACUGAUGGUACCGCUGGAGGAAGCACCGGCUAACUCCGUGCCAGCAGCCGCGGUAAUACGGAGGGUGCAAGCGUUGUUCGGAUUUACUGGGCGUAAAGAGCGUGUAGGCGGUUUAGCAAGUCAGAUGUGAAAGCCCUGGGCUCAACUCAGGAAGUGCAUUUGAAACUGAUAUACUAGAGUAUGGGAGAGGAGAUUGGAAUUCCCAGUGUAGAGGUGAGAUUCGUAGAUAUUGGGAGGAACACCGGUGGCGAAGGCGACUCUCUGGACCAAUACUGACGCUGAGACGCGAAAGCGUGGGGAGCAAACAGGAUUAGAUACCCGCGUAGUC
Molecule: ribosomal RNA, 464 nt
Filed under: uncultured bacterium
Lineage: Bacteria
Description: partial 16S ribosomal RNA
Rfam family: Bacterial small subunit ribosomal RNA
Source: RNAcentral